AAAAAGGCCCUUAUCAGGGCCACCAUAUUUUUUUUUCGUAACUCUC
Acyrthosiphon pisum (pea aphid) is the source of this 46-nucleotide non-coding RNA. The record is from Rfam. Lineage: Eukaryota; Metazoa; Arthropoda; Insecta; Hemiptera; Aphididae.